CGGUCUCGCGCAAUGGGUGCCUACGAACCGUGUCAGGUUGGGAACAAAGCAGCACUAAGUAGGAAUUCUCAUGUGCCGUGAGG
This 83-nucleotide signal recognition particle RNA is filed under the name uncultured Acetatifactor sp. RNAcentral's name for it is "Bacterial small signal recognition particle RNA". It matches the Rfam family "Bacterial small signal recognition particle RNA". From Rfam's summary of the family: The signal recognition particle (SRP) is a universally conserved ribonucleoprotein involved in the co-translational targeting of proteins to membranes. Lineage: Bacteria; Bacillati; Bacillota; Clostridia; Lachnospirales; Lachnospiraceae. The record is from RNAcentral.